AUUGAACGCUGGCGGAAUGCUUUACACAUGCAAGUCGAACGGCAGCACGGGUGCUUGCACCUGGUGGCGAGUGGCGAACGGGUGAGUAAUGCGUCGGAACGUGCCGAGUAAUGGGGGAUAACGCAGCGAAAGUUGUGCUAAUACCGCAUACGCCCUGAGGGGGAAAGUGGGGGAUCGCAAGACCUCACGUUAUUCGAGCGGCCGACGUCUGAUUAGCUAGUUGGUGGGGUAAAGGCCUACCAAGGCGACGACCAGUAGCGGGUCUGAGAGGAUGAUCCGCCACACUGGGACUGAGACACGGCCCAGACUCCUACGGGAGGCAGCAGUGGGGAAUUUUGGACAAUGGGCGCAAGCCUGAUCCAGCCAUGCCGCGUGAGUGAAGAAGGCCUCGGUU
RNAcentral lists this ribosomal RNA (394 nucleotides) under uncultured bacterium. RNAcentral's name for it is "bacterial SSU rRNA". It matches the Rfam family "Bacterial small subunit ribosomal RNA", at positions 29 to 424 of the family's 1533-position model. The record is from RNAcentral.